Non-coding RNA from Macaca mulatta (Rhesus monkey), 3661 nucleotides. Lineage: Eukaryota; Metazoa; Chordata; Mammalia; Primates; Cercopithecidae. The record is from RefSeq and is a predicted model, not a curated record.
CUCCUGACCUCGUGAUCCGCCCGUCUCGGCCUCCCAAAGUGCUGGGAUUAUAGGCUUGAGCCACCGCUCCCAGCCUCAAGUUACAUUCUUUAGCGUAAUUUAGUUUUCCAGCUUCUGUGUAACUGGGGGACACCUAUUCAAAUAUUUUAAGCAUAUGCUAGGUCUUUUGUCAUGAGAUAUAAUUUGUUUUUCAAUUGUUAUGGUAGCAAAUUUGUCAUUUGGCUGGACUUCAAUGGCUGCUGCAGUUUUAUCCUUAUUGGCAUCCCAAGAGGAGUGGAAGAUAGAUAAGCUGCAGGAAUCAAGAUUUAUAUAUUAUCUAAGAAACUGGAGUGGGAGGAAGAUAAAAAACAUGAACUAUUUCUCUGUUUUUUAUCUCUCACUUCCCCAUUAUCUCUUUCACGUUGAGAACUAGGGUCAUUUUUCUAGUGACAGGCCUACUUUGUAGACAUUACAUCCUAAACUUUCAUUAAGGACAAUAUUAUAAUAGUCAGGAUAAACUGGGCUAUGCUGUGCUAACAAGUAAACUCCAAAGUUCUAGUGAUUUAAUUCAGUAAAGAUUUAUUUCUUUCUCAUAUCACAGUUUAAUUCAAAUGGUUCCUUUUGGCCACUCUUAAGGAGUCUGGCUAAAACUUCUACCUAAAAAUCUACAUGUGAUUUUUUUUUUUUCAUGCCAAACAGUAGGCAGUCACAAAAGCUGCCCUCCCCACGCCAGUCUUGGUGUGGCAAAUACAAUCUUUGAAGGAGGUUUCAGUCGAGGACUCAGGCUCUCCGGCUGACUUUGCUCCUAUGCAUAUCAUCAUUCCUAGAUCAGAUGCCUCCAUUUGGAAGCUUCUUUAUAGGAGGCCUUCAGCUGAGGCCUUCCUCAGGUGCCUCUGCUGAGACCUCCUUAUUAAAGAGCUGAAGAAUCAAACUUGAAGAAACAUUGCUCCACCGUAAUUCAAUAUUCAGGACUUUUGCACUCCCAGCCCUUUCCCCUUUCCUUUCCCCUUGCUCCAGGGUCCAUAAAAUCCCAAGAGCGUUUUUUGGAAGCUCCUUCAGGAUUGAGCUGAAUACCAUAUCUAUGCUACUCCUGCUAAUUCUUGACUGGUUCUGGUCCAUGGAAAAAGAUUGAUCAGGAGGAGUCAGCAUUUUCUUCAGGUUAGCCUCUUGCUUAUGCUAUCCCUGUAAGUGAUUAAAGGCUUCACUGUUAUUUUCAUUCUUGCUUCUUGCCUAAUUGGCUACUCUGAUACCUGGCAGCUUAGCUCUGUCUAGGUCAGCUCAGCUCCUUAUAAUUCUACAAGGAAUAACUCAGGAAUCCAAGAUGUUUCCAUCUUAAAGUUACACUAUCUGGAGCAUGUGUGUCCAGCAUCAUUGUGAAACAGAAAGAGAGAGAGUAGGGAACUGUGCAAAUAAAUCAAUGGCCAAGCCUAGAUGUGGUGUGUAGCACAUUCAUUCAUAUUUCACUGCUCAGAACUCAGUUACAUGCUUCCAACCCAAUGGCAAGGCAGGUUGGAAAAGUAGUCUUCUUGUUUAUAUAGGAAGAGAAAAGAGAUUUUUUGUGAACAUUGAGCCAAUUUCUGUCUGUAACGCCAACUUCUGUUGGGUAAAUAUGUGUGUUGUGGGAGGUAAGUUUUGCACAAGUUUUUCAGACUAGUGGGAGAUAUAAUUACAGAUGAAAGGCAGGUCUGAUGCCCAGGCAUUGUACUAAGCAUGAGGAAUGAUUUAGAGAGGUGAAAUAAAGACUGAAGAUUUAGUGAAAUUGAAUGAUACAUCUUAGGUGACAAUGGUAUUACCCUUCCUAGUCUAGAAAAAACUUCUGGAUGUUCUUGAGAACUCUUCUCCACCCACCACUACUUCUAAAUUUAAUUCCUCUGCACCAGCUGCACAAUCCUGCAUUUACAAUUCAGUUUAGACUACUGAACUUUCUACCUACCAUCCCCUCUAUAAAAUGAAAGGUUUAAAUUAGUGAUUUUCUUCCCCUACCAGCCUGCAAGGUGCAGUUGGUCAUUUCAUGGGCACUCAAGGAAUGUCUGACCUACCUCACAGUGAUCUGUCCAUAGUGAGCAUUUAAUGCAUGUACAGUUAUGAAACAUCUAGAAGUCAUCCAUUCUUUUAUAGACUUCCUCUCCUGACAUGUCUACUUGCUAUGAAACAGCUGUUUAGUCAUGUUGCCAAGAAGAAAAAAGACAGAGUGCUUCUAGAUAAAGAAAUAGUAUUCCUAUGUCAACUUUCUAUGCAAAGUGUGGACUGUGGACCAGCAGCAUGUGCAUUGCCUGGCAGCUUGUUGGAAAUGCAGAAUCUGAAGCUCUUCCCUAGACCUACUAAACAGACUUCGCUUUAACAAUAUAUCUGGGCAAGUCAUAUAGUCAUUAAAAUUUGAGAAGUAUGAUCUAGCAUAGAUAUUACUUCAUAAUAAAUGUUUAAUGUUUGAGUUACUAUUGCUGCAUAGCUUGAAGGAGACAGUAUAUACACCUUACCUCUUCAUGGAAGGAUUGUCAAAGUCUCACUAUAAGAAGAACAUGGUACCGGAGAUAUUGUUGUAGCCACCUUUGGAAAAUACAAUUGACACACUUAAUAUUUAAAACUAUUGCCUUUACUCCUUUAUUGUGCAGACGUAAACCAGUGAUUGGUUCCAGGUUAAAGGUACUUUUUGGCAUGCUCAGUAACCGUCUUUACUUUACAGGAGGAGGUAGAGUACCAGGUAGCUUUUUCAAAAGGCAUGCUGAAAAUUAUUAGUAGUUUGAUAAAGAUUCUGAUGAAUUCUUAAGGCUAAAUGCAGUGCUAAAUUUUUCCUUGUCAUCUUCUUUGAUCUCCUCAGUGAGAAAUUAUCUCAUCUUCCUCCAAAGCCCAUUAGAAUGUUGCCUAUUUUAAAAAUUGAGUUCUUCAUAUCAUAAAUUAAAUAUUGUGUCUAAAGAGUUUCUGGCAUAUGCUACAUACUCGAUGAUUGCAGGUAUUUUCAUUAAAGCUAUUUGUAUAUAUUUCUUACCUCCUUCUUCUUUCUUUUCCUGGUGAACUGCAAUUCUUUUAGAAGCCAAUUCUGAAUUCCUAGGCAGAGUAGUCAUAUUUUUCUUUCAGUUUCAUAGUAAUUUAAACCCCAAAACCAGUGUUUAUGCACAGACUUAUAUUCCAUUACCUAGCAUUUCUAAAGAAUGACUUUUUUAAUCUUAAUUAUUUUCAGUGGAAACUUUUUCUAAAUGUGUGAUAUGCACCUAUAAUGCUAAGCAUAAGCAGAUGCUCAUAAACUAGGGGUUCUUUUCUCUUGCACAUUUUGUGAUGUUUAUAGCCUUGCUGCCGCCAUGGGGUCUGUACCUAGUGGCGUUUGCUCCUUUCUCAGAGAAAAUUACAUAAUAGAUUUCAUAAAAAUUCUAUCUAUCAUCAGAGAAUAUGAUCUAUGAGGGAAAGCCUCAGAGAAUCUCUUAUGAAGAAGUGAAUAUACUUGCUUAUUUUUGAUUUUGAAUGAGUAACAAAAUAAUAAUAAAUUAUAAAAUACAAUUAAAUUGCAUUUAAUAAUAUUUAUUAAAUAAAACUAUUAUUUUCAUGCCAGUUUUAUGGUUUAAAUAUCACCUUUGCAUGCAUUUUCUAACUUGUUUUUGAAAACUUCCCUGUAAGGUAGAGUUACUCAUAGUAAAAAUAAUAUGUGAUCAAUAUAAUGUUUUUAAUAAAAUAAGGAGUUGUUCUAAAA